RNAcentral lists this long non-coding RNA (4414 nucleotides) under Homo sapiens (human). RNAcentral's name for it is "non-protein coding MIR99AHG:100". The record is from RNAcentral. Lineage: Eukaryota; Metazoa; Chordata; Mammalia; Primates; Hominidae.
CAAUACUGGGCAAUUUACAGAAGAAAGAGGUUUAAUGGAUUUACAGUUCCACAUGGCUGGGGAGGCCUCACAAUCAUGGUGGAGGGCAAAAAGGAGCAAGUCACGUCUUACAUGGAUGGCAACAGGCAAAGAGAGAGCUUGUCCAGGGAAACUCCUGUUUUUAAAACCAUCAGAUCUCGUGAGACUCAUUCACCAUCAUGAGAACAAUGCAGGAAAGACCUGCCCCCAUAAUUCAAUCACCUCCCACCAGGUUCCUCCCACAACACGUGGGAAUUGUGGGAGCUGCAAUUCAAGAUGAGAUUUGGGUGGGGACAUGGCCAAACCAUAUCAAUGAUUGUUUCAUAUUUUUCUCCACUACUGGAAUCUAAAUACCUAUGAGGCCAGUGACCUCAUCUAUCUGAUUUAGUGCUGUAUCCUCAUUGCUAGCACAGAACUAGUUAAGAGAAGGCACUUAUCACUUAAGAAUGAAUGAAUGAAUGAAUGAAUUUCCUUCAAUGUAAACAUUUACUCACUAUUUACUUAAACUCCAUGACAUUCUUAGGAAAUUCAGAAAAAAACAUGGCACAACUUCGAUGAUUUUCAUUUAGCCACUCUCUAAGACCCAAACUGUGUACCAACCAUCAUGAUCAACAGCAUAUGCUUUUACACACACACACACACACACACACACGUGCACACACACACACACAUUUUGUUAGUUAUCUACCUUUACUUCCUCAUACUACUGAGGGCAGUUUCUGUAGUAGAAAGAACACUGACUUAUGCUUAUUCUGAGCUAGGGUGAGUUAGGCUCUUGCUCUACCAUUUUUAUUAACUCUGAAGUCUUGAAAAGACCAAUUAGCAUGUUUCAGCCUUCAUUUGCUACAUACUGGGAAUCAUACCUGGAGGAAUCACAUUGAUGACAAAACACAAGAGUCCAUGUAUAGAACCGUAAUAAUAAAUAGCUCCAUAUUUGGAUAGUACUAGCCCACGUGCUGAAUCUCAGGGACAUACUUACAGAUGUACGUUUCCUCCAAUUUCCCCUAUAUGCCCUCAAAGGCAGGUAUCAUUGGGCCAAUGUUAUACAUUAAAUAUGCUGAGUAUCAGAAGUGAAAUUUAACUUCACACAGUUAUGUGACAAGACUGUGCUAUAAAACCAUGACUAAAUCCAAACUGAUCCAUAGGAGGGUAAAAUGUCCGUUUUCUUCAUUAAAACUUCUCAGCUCAAAUUUAUACUAAAGCAUAUCCAGGAAUUAAAAAAAAGGUUUUGAUGAUAUUUGCUUUCUAGUUUAAUAAGUUUUAAUACUGAAUAGGUUAAAUUAAUACAAAAUAACAUAAAAUGCUAAUAUUUAUUGAGUAUUUACUUUGUACCCACUACGAUCUUAAGUAAUUUACUGGGAUUAUUUUAUUUUAGUUUAACAAUGCAGGUAGCUACUAUAAUCGUCCCUAUUUUACACUUGAGGAAACAGGCUAAGAGAGAUUAAAUUAGUGGCCCAAGGUCAGAAAGCUCGUAAUUCUUGAAGCCAGGGUAUGAUUCUGUGUAACGUGAGGGUUCAAGCCUUUACCAGUGAUGCAUGUUGCCUCUUAUUUCAUUAAUUUAAAUUGGUCAUUUGGGUUAAUCACAUAGAAGGUGACGUUCCAUUUUGUUUUUGUAUGACUUGCAUUCUUCAACAUUUUUCAUCCACAGUGCGAUAAAAUAAUAUCAUGUUCAUUCUCUUCUAUACCUUUACAUUUGUGUUUCCCUACUGUAAUGUAAAAAUUUCAGAUGUAUGGUAAAUAUGCAAAUGCAACAAUAUUAGAAAAAACUGGUCUAUAUUCUCAGUUUACUGUUUACAGUUGUGAGAACUGAGUGAGAGUCCUUAUUCUCCCAGUGUAAUAAUUAUUACACAUUAUGCUUCCUGCCAAAACUAGCUGACUGCCUUAGUCCUUUGAGUUGUGAAUAUCAGUAUCAAUUCAAAAACAACUAUUUAAUAACAACUUUCUUAAAGAAAGGAAGAAAAUAUAAUUUUAUGAAAUGACCACUUUUAUUAUUCUUGAGUGUCUCAGAAAAUUUAGUGUAAAGUGUCCUUUGCUAUCCAGGAUAUAACAGCUGGUUCCAGAUAACAUGGUAUGUCUCAUUAGAGAGAUACUAGAUCUAAUUAUGCAACAUAUAAGCAAGAUCAUUAUAGAAACAUUAUCUCGAUGAGGUAAGUAAAGUACAUGUGAAAUCUAACUCUGCUGUUUGAAAGAAUUUUUGAAAGCAAAUGUAAGGAAUUAAUAAUUACUUAAGUGUAUGAAGAAAGCUGUUGCAAACUACUUAUGAAUCUUUGACAUGUAAUGAAAAAAUAUAAUAGAAUGAUAAGUACCCUGAUUAUUUGUGCUAGAGAUAAAAAUGAACUUCUGGGCAAAUAUCUUUUGCUACCGACAAAUUUUUUUUCUAAACAGUAAAAAUGAGUGCCUUUUCAUAGCAUUUCUACUGUGUCAGAAAUUCUCAAACUUUAGAGUGUAACUGAAACACAGAGAGGGCUUAUUAAAACAAAGAUUGCCGUAAGGACUUGUACCCUAUAAACAGAAACUAUACAUUUUUCAAGCAUCUAUGAUUUACCAAAAUAGACUAGUAUUAGUUAAGAACAAGAUAAUAAUAAUAAAUAACAGAAAUUUCAGGAAUUACAUAAGGUCACAACUUAAUAAUACAAAAAAAAUAAUCUUUUCAUAAAAACAUUCCCCAAAAAUAUUAAAAACAAACAACAAAUCAAUAACAACAUUAAAAUAAGCAAACCAUUUGCCUAAAUAACUGUUGUGACAAAAGGCAAACUAAACCAUAACUGUAGGCCAUUUAAGAACCUACUAAAUUACAGCACCACGUUUCAACACUGAUGUAUUACCAAAGCUCUUCUUAGAGACAAAUUCAUAGGCUUUAACAGUCUAUUAAAAAGAAGUAUAAAAGAAUCAUGUCUUUAUCACAGGAACUUAACUGGACUACAAUAAAGCAAAGAUGAAACUUAGAAAGAACACAAAUUUAAUUGCAUUAGAGAAAUUGGAAAAUCAACAAGUAAAUCACAGAACUAAUAUUUUUAAAGAAAAAAAUUCGUUACUAUUUUAAAAGGAAUAAGCAGCAGGAAAAAAAUGAGAAAGAAUACAACACGCAGAAAAUUUUUAAAAAAUACUGAGGGUAAUGUUUAAGAAGGUAAUUGCAAAUUUCUAGAAGAAAUGCUAGCAAAUGUAAUUUGUAUAGGAUGUUAAAACAAUACUUAAUAAUGCAGUACUACAUUAUCUUAGCAAUACAUAGAUGAUUUCAAUAAUCAAUUUAUAAUAUUUGACUAUAUACAAUGAUACAUCAGAAAAGGAGAUGUGCAUAAAUUUUCAUGGAAUAAGGUAUAAAGCCCAACUCUCAAUACAUACUAAUCAUAACAGGAGUCUAAGAAAUAUUCUGAAAUAAAUGGGAAUGCAGAAUGUGUCAGGCCUCUGAGCCCAAGCUAAGCCAUCAUAUCCCCUGUGACCAGCACGUACACAUCCAGAUGGCCGGUUCCUGCCUUAACUGAUGACAUUCCACCACAAAAGAAAUUAAAAUGGCCUGUUCUUGCCUUAACUGAUGACAUUAUCUUGUGAAAUUCCUUCUCCUGGCUCAUCCUGGCUCAAAAGCUCCCCAACUGAGCAUCUUGUGACCCCCACUCUUGCCUGCCAGAGAACAACCCCACUUUUUCCUUUACCUACCCAAAUCCUAUAAAACAGCCCCACCCCUAUCUCCCUUCGCUGACUCUCUUUUUGGACUCAGCCCGCCUGCACCCAGGUGAUUAAAAUCUUUAUUGCUCAGGGAUGCGCAUGAAAGAAUGUGCCACAGAAAAUGAGACACAUCAAUGAGGGCAACUCAUCAUCUGAAAAUCCUUCCCAGAUGUGCUGAAAAAUUUUCAUUAAUUUGUAUAUUCUAUUUUAUUUUUAUAACUAAGUACACAUGCUUGUGACUGGAAGAGAAGACACCCCUCAUUUAAUCCCAGAGGAAUAUUUGGCCUUGAUUCAUGCCCUGCUCACUCCACCCCAUUAUUAAGAUAGAGAUCGCUGAAGAAAUCCCUGCUCUAUAAAUGUAGCUGAUCCAAAAACAAAAUGGAAAUUCAUUAUUUUAAAUAUUUCUACAAGAUCUUUGUACAACUCUAUUUUUUUUUCCUAUUAAGAAUUACAUGAUUCUAGAAUAAGUUCCAACCCUAAGUAUCAACACUGGAACACAAUUUUAAAACAGGAGGCGAUUAUCUCUAUAGUGAGAUUUAACUACAGAGGUGAUAGCUCUGGUUAGUGAAUUUCAGGACUAGAAAUCAGGCCUGCUGUCUCUUAGCUUAGAGGAGGUAUAAUAAGAAGAGGAUUAGAACUACUGUGUAUAUUAACAAGAAGAACUCUAUUAUGUUCAGCUAUCAUUAUAUAUGAUAUUAUGUUUCUUUUUAUGAACUAUAGUUCACUGUCUUUA